Molecule: ribosomal RNA, 389 nt
Filed under: uncultured bacterium
Lineage: Bacteria
Description: bacterial SSU rRNA
Rfam family: Bacterial small subunit ribosomal RNA
Source: RNAcentral
GACGAACGCUGGCGGCGUGCUUAACACAUGCAAGUCGAGCGGUAAGGCCCUUUCGGGGGUACACGAGCGGCGAACGGGUGAGUAACACGUGGGUGACCUGCCCUCAGCUCUGGGAUAAGCCUGGGAAACUGGGUCUAAUACCGGAUAUGACUCCAUGACGCAUGUUGUGGGGUGGAAAGCCUUGUGCGGCUGAGGAUGGGCCCGCGGCCUAUCAGCUUGUUGGUGGGGUGAUGGCCUACCAAGGCGACGACGGGUAGCCGGCCUGAGAGGGCGACCGGCCACACUGGGACUGAGACACGGCCCAGACUCCUACGGGAGGCAGCAGUGGGGAAUCUUGCGCAAUGGGCGAAAGCCUGACGCAGCGACGCCGCGUGAGGGAUGACGGCCUC